RNAcentral lists this ribosomal RNA (830 nucleotides) under uncultured bacterium. Its description in RNAcentral is "bacterial SSU rRNA". It matches the Rfam family "Bacterial small subunit ribosomal RNA", at positions 9 to 854 of the family's 1533-position model. The record is from RNAcentral.
GAGUUUGAUCCUGGCUCAGAAUGAACGUUGGCGGCGUGGAUUAGGCAUGCAAGUCGAGCAAGAACCGUAGCAAUACGGGGACAGCGGCGAACGGGAGAGUAACGAGUGGAGAACCUACCCUGAGACCCGGGAUAGCCGUGGGAAACCGCGGGUAAUACCGGAUAACGUCUUCGGACCAAAGGUGUGAUUCCGUCUGAGGAUGGCUCUGCUUCCUAUUAGCUAGUUGGCGAGGUAACGGCUCACCAAGGCAACGAUGGGUACCGGGUGUGAGAGCAUGACCCGGCUCUCUGGGACUGAGACACUGCCCAGACACCUACGGGUGGCUGCAGUCGAGAAUCUUCGGCAAUGGGCGCAAGCCCGACCGAGCGACGCCGCGUGCGGGAUGAAGGCCUUCGGGUUGUAAACCGCUGUCGGAGGGGAUGAAAUGCCGGGUGGUAAUCCAUUCGGUUUGACAUAUCCUCGGAGGAAGGACGGGCUAAGUUCGUGCCAGCAGCCGCGGUAAGACGAACCGUCCGAACGUUAUUCGGAAUCACUGGGCUUAAAGGGUGCGUAGGCGGCCCGGAAAGUUGGGUGUGAAAUCCCUCGGCUCAACCGAGGAACUGCAUUCAAAACUACCGGGCUCGAGGAAGAUAGAGGUGAGCGGAACUCAGGGUGGAGCGGUGGAAUGCGUUGAUAUUCUGGGGAACACCAGUUGCGAAGGCGGCUCACUGGGUCUUUUCUGACGCUGAGGCACGAAAGCUAGGGGAGCGAAGAGGAUUAGAUACCCUCGUAGUCCUAGCUGUAAACGUUGAGCACUAGAUCGAAGGGCUUCGGUCCUUCGGUCGUAGCGA